RNAcentral lists this ribosomal RNA (514 nucleotides) under Nematoda environmental sample. Its description in RNAcentral is "SSU rRNA". It matches the Rfam family "Eukaryotic small subunit ribosomal RNA", at positions 58 to 570 of the family's 1831-position model. Lineage: Eukaryota; Metazoa; Nematoda. The record is from RNAcentral.
UCUAAGUAUAAACGAUUGAAUCGUGAAACCGCGAAUGGCUCAUUAUCACAGCUAUACUUUACUUGAUCUUGACACAAUCCUACUUGGAUAACUGUGGUAAUUCUAGAGCUAAUACAUGCAUUAAAGCUCUGACCUCACGGGAAGAGUGCAUUUAUUAGAACAAAACCAAGCGGCUUCGGCUGUUUCUGGUUGACUCAUAGUAACUGAGCUGAUCGCAUGGUCUUGCACCGGCGACGUGUCUUUCAAGUAUCUGCCGUAUCAACUUUCGAUGGUAGUGUAUCUGACUACCAUGGUGAUCACGCGUAACGGAGAAUAAGGGUUCGGCUCCGGAGAGUUCGCCUGAGAAAUCGCGAACACAUCUAAGGAAGGCAGCAGGCGCGAAAAUUACCCACUCUCAGCACGAGGAGGUAGUGACGAAAAAUAACGAGACCGUUCUCUUAUGAGGCCGGUCAUCGGAAUGGGUACAAUUUAAACCCUUUAACGAGUAUCUAUGAGAGGGCAAGUCUGGUGCCAG